CGUCCCUUCGUCUAACAGGAAUAGGACAUCGCCCUUUCACGGCGGCAAUACGGGUUCGAGUCCCGUAGGGAUGA
Molecule: transfer RNA, 74 nt
Filed under: Caudoviricetes sp.
Lineage: Duplodnaviria; Heunggongvirae; Uroviricota; Caudoviricetes
Description: tRNA-Glu
Rfam family: tRNA
About the family: Transfer RNA (tRNA) molecules are approximately 80 nucleotides in length. Their secondary structure includes four short double-helical elements and three loops (D, anti-codon, and T loops).
Source: RNAcentral